AGCAGCCGCGGUAAUUCCAGCUCCAAUAGCGUAUAUUAAAGUUGUUGCAGUUAAAAAGCUCGUAGUUGAAUUUCGGGACCAAUUUGUUGGUCGUGCCUCGGUACGUACUGAUAUUAUUGGUUUCUCCCUUCUGAAGAACCAUGAUGCCAUUAAUUUGGUGUCGUGGGGAAUCAGGACUGUUACUUUGAAAAAAUUAGAGUGUUUAAAGCAGGCUUUCGCUUGAAUACAUUAGCAUGGAAUAAUGAAAUAGGACGUUUGAUUCUAUUUUGUUGGUUUCUAGGAUCGACGUAAUGAUUAAUAGGGAUAGUUGGGGGCAUUAGUAUUCAAUUGUCAGAGGUGAAAUUCUUGGAUUUAUUGAAGACUAACUACUGCGAAAGCAUUUGCCAAGGAUGUUUUCAUUAAUCAAGAACGAAAGUUAGGGGAUCGAAGACGAUCAGAUACCGUCGUAGUCUUAACCAUAAACUAUGCCGACUAGGGAUCGGAUGAUGUUAAUUUUUAAUGACUCAUU
Molecule: ribosomal RNA, 508 nt
Filed under: uncultured Glomus
Lineage: Eukaryota; Fungi; Glomeromycota; Glomeromycetes; Glomerales; Glomeraceae
Description: SSU rRNA
Rfam family: Eukaryotic small subunit ribosomal RNA
Source: RNAcentral